This 496-nucleotide ribosomal RNA is filed under the name uncultured bacterium. RNAcentral's name for it is "partial 16S ribosomal RNA". It matches the Rfam family "Bacterial small subunit ribosomal RNA", at positions 28 to 506 of the family's 1533-position model. The record is from RNAcentral.
GACGAACGCUGGCGGCGUGCCUAAUACAUGCAAGUUGAGCGAUGAAGAUUGGUGCUUGCACCAAUUUGAAGAGCAGCGAACGGGUGAGUAACGCGUGGGGAAUCUGCCUUUGAGCGGGGGACAACAUUUGGAAACGAAUGCUAAUACCGCAUAAUAACUUUAAACAUAAGUUUUAAGUUUGAAAGAUGCAAUUGCAUCACUCAAAGAUGAUCCCGCGUUGUAUUGGCUAGUUGGUGAGGUAAAGGCUCACCAAGGCGAUGAUACAUAGCCGACCUGAGAGGGUGAUCGGCCACAUUGGGACUGAGACACGGCCCAAACUCCUACGGGAGGCAGCAGUAGGGAAUCUUCGGCAAUGGACGAAAGUCUGACCGAGCAACGCCGCGUGAGUGAAGAAGGUUUUCGGAUCGUAAAACUCUGUUGGUAGAGAAGAACGUUGGUGAGAGUGGAAAGCUCAUCAAGUGACGGUAACUACCCAGAAAGGGACGGCUAACUACGU